Bos grunniens (domestic yak) is the source of this 58-nucleotide microRNA precursor. NCBI's taxonomy places the organism in Eukaryota, Metazoa, Chordata, Mammalia, Artiodactyla, Bovidae. The record is from Ensembl.
AAAAGUUCGUUUGGGUUUUUCCACACCAUCUUACAGAGAAACCUGAAUGAACUUUUGG